UGGCUAACUCCUACGGGAGGCAGCAGUGGGGAAUAUUGGACAAUGGGCGCAAGCCUGAUCCAGCCAUGCCGCGUGAGUGAUGAAGGUCUUAGGAUUGUAAAGCUCUUUCACCGGGGACGAUAAUGACGGUACCCGGAGAAGAAGCCCCGGCUAACUUCGUGCCAGCAGCCGCGGUAAUACGAAGGGGGCUAGCGUUGUUCGGAAUUACUGGGCGUAAAGCGCACGUAGGCGGACAUUUAAGUCAGGGGUGAAAUCCCGGGGCUCAACCCCGGAACUGCCUUUGAUACUGGGUGUCUUGAGUGUGGUAGAGGUGAGUGGAAUUGCGAGUGUAGAGGUGAAAUUCGUAGAUAUUCGCAGGAACACCAGUGGCGAAGGCGGCUCACUGGACCACAACUGACGCUGAGGUGCGAAAGCGUGGGGAGCAAACAGGAUUAGAAACCCGUGUAGUCCAGCUGG
Molecule: ribosomal RNA, 456 nt
Filed under: uncultured bacterium
Lineage: Bacteria
Description: bacterial SSU rRNA
Rfam family: Bacterial small subunit ribosomal RNA
Source: RNAcentral